This is a long non-coding RNA of Cucumis sativus (cucumber), 656 nucleotides long. RefSeq lists it as uncharacterized. Lineage: Eukaryota; Viridiplantae; Streptophyta; Magnoliopsida; Cucurbitales; Cucurbitaceae. The record is from RefSeq and is a predicted model, not a curated record. The transcript is spliced from 2 exons.
ACGUGACCUAAUAAAUCAUGGGCAUAAGUCCAAUCAUCAUAGAUCCAUAUGUGUUAUCGGCAGAACCCUCCUUUGUGACGGACCCUCAAUCCUUAAGAAGCAGCGAGCGAUCAAGCUAAAGAGAUUUCCAAUUACUAGCUUUUGUUAUUCAGAAUGUUGGGUCGAAGCAGGUUCCUCUCGUUUCCCAUGGUAAUGGGUGCGGUCAUCAUCGGUGUUGUUUCUGGGAAAGCAAUAUUUGGGCCACCUCUUGAUGAAUACUGGAAAAAGAAGCUGGAAGAAGAGGCGGCCGCAAAGGAGACAGGUACUAGUACUACCAGCUCAACUUAGCAUAGGUCAGGAUUCGGGAUAGUCAUGCUUAGCAACAUGGAUAUGUAGAGCUAGGAGAAAUAUGUUUUCGAUGAAACAAUCAUUGAAUAUGUAUAAUCUUGCAUGGAUAUUUAUGCAUAAAACACCCAAGAAUUUGCAAAGGUUAUCUUCUUUUACUUGGGACACCAUGUGGAUUAUCUACAAAAAAGAAUGGUCCAAUAGGAACCAACAAGGCCUUCCCUUUUGGCUAAACCACUAAAAGGUAUGUUCGGUUGUAAUUUUGACAAUGUUAAACUUAAAUUCACUUUUUUCACUGCCAAAGUCAUUUCAAACAGCUCUUUUCACCGUGA